UGCAAGCCAACCGAGCUCCAACCAAUCGUCAGGUCCACCAUGUCUCUCACGGUCUAGUUCGUACUUCGUUCUCGCCAACGCGAUGGCGACGCCGGCCCGCCGGGCGUCGGCGCAGCCGCAGCCGCUGACGGUGGACUUCGAGGCGCUGAGCUACAUCAGCAGGCUCGUGGAGGCGUUCCAGGCGUUCGACUCGGACAGCGACGGCCUCGUCACGGCCCCCGAGCUCCGGGGCCUCCUGGCCUCCCUGGGCCUGGACAAGUCGGAGGCCGAGGCGCGGGACAUGCUGGCGCGCGCCGACGCCGACCGUGACGGCCGGCUCUGCGUGGUACAUUUGUCAUGGUUGCUCAACUGCAUUUGCCAUCUCGGGUCAAGUGUCAGAUGCCAUUUUAGACGUGAUGAACGCCGGCGAGCUCGGCCUGGGCGCGCUCGGCGCGCUGCUGCAGGCCGCCGUCCCGGCGCUGGAGUCCUUCGCGGGCCCCGACGAGCUCGCCACGGUGCUGGGGCUCAUGGGCACCGCCAGCGCCGAGGACUGCGCGGAGAUCAUCGCGUGCAUGGACGGGGACGGGGACGGCGACGGCGCCAUCAGCGUCGAGGAGUUCAAGCUCAUGGCUGACCUGCUCUAGGCUCGAGCUACAUACGUACCAUUGAGCUAGCUAGAGGGCGUGCAUAUAUGCAGUUAUGUAUUGUGAUAUCGAUUAAUAAGCGUGAGCACGUCAGGAGAGUUGUGGACUACUUCUGCAUGGAUACAUGCAAGUUUGUCUUCUCUAAUAAAUUACAGAUUCCUCUCGCAGAGUGUCUGUCUGUCCACAAGUGGCACGAUCGAUUUGAGGCUUUACUAGUUACUACUAGAUCAUCGAAGGUGUAAAUUAACAAGACCUGAGAAGUUUUGGAAAAGGAUUGCAGAAGCAAAGGUAGUAGGCAUUAUCCUGUGGUUACAUUUAACUAAAUAUCAAAUUGAGAGGC
Molecule: ribosomal RNA, 963 nt
Filed under: Triticum aestivum (bread wheat)
Lineage: Eukaryota; Viridiplantae; Streptophyta; Magnoliopsida; Poales; Poaceae
Description: partial small subunit ribosomal RNA
Source: RNAcentral